UGCGGGGUCGGCUAACGGUAGGCCAGCAGACUCUGAAUCUGCUUAUCCUGGUUCGAAUCCAGGCCCCGCAG
RNAcentral lists this transfer RNA (71 nucleotides) under bacterium. Its description in RNAcentral is "tRNA-Gln". It matches the Rfam family "tRNA". Rfam says of the family: Transfer RNA (tRNA) molecules are approximately 80 nucleotides in length. Their secondary structure includes four short double-helical elements and three loops (D, anti-codon, and T loops). The record is from RNAcentral.